CUGAGUUCGGCUGCUUUUUGGGGCUGGCUCUAGCAGGAGCUCACUGGGUGGCCUUCCAGAGCUCACUUCCUCUCUCUGGCUUUGGUCUCCUCCUCUGUAAAAGGAGGUCCGAAUUAAGCACUCUUCACAGUACCCGGCUGUGCACUUGUCCCCAGAAGUUUCUCUACCGGCUCCAGGGCUGUCUUCAGCCAAUCAACAAAUGUUUCAUGUGGUUCACCCUGUGCGGGGAACCUGGAACCCCCUGACGGGAAUCCCUGUGCUUCCCAAAUGCAGAGGGGCCUCCCUUCCCGAAUGUGAAGGCCAGCAAAAACCCCAAGAGAAACUACUAGGAAUAUCUUCUAUCUCUCAACUCCCUUCAUUCUGGAGCCAGGGCAUUUGCACUUUGAAAUUCUUUUUCAUUGAUUCUGUACCCAAUGGAACCCGGGUUAAGUAAGAGGAGGGAGUAUAUAAUCCAAGUUGAGUCAAGGCAGUAAACACUGGAGAAGAUAAAUAACAAUGCAAGGGGCAGAGAAUGGGCCCUGGAAGGAGUGAUUAAUUACCAAACAGCCGGUUCCAAAAACAAGCGGGCUGCGGCAAGAGGGAGAGAUCCGAGGAGUCAGGCCCCGUGUCCAGAAGACUUUUUGCAAAUGAAAGCGCUGGUGACAAGCUCUGAAAGCCGGCAAGGCAUGAACUGGCCAAGGGGAGGGUACCAGAUGGCAAAGGUCAGUAGAUCAGGUUCCAGGGCACAUCUCUCAACCAGCACCACCGCAGGCCUCAGACCUGGCUGCACAACGGAAUCACCAGGUGGUUGUUGUUGUUGCUGUUGUUGUUGUUGUUUUCAAACAGAGUUUCACUCUGUCGCCCAGGC
This 847-nucleotide long non-coding RNA is filed under the name Homo sapiens (human). RNAcentral describes it as "non-protein coding lnc-ATP6AP2-12:1". The record is from RNAcentral. Lineage: Eukaryota; Metazoa; Chordata; Mammalia; Primates; Hominidae.